UCAUAUAUUUUUUUUAUGAAAAAUUUGCAUAUUCUGCAUUGGAAUUGGAAAUUGGAACCAGUACCAGUAAUUUAGUUUAAAUUCGAAAUGGAGUUAAGUGAAGAUUCUAUAAAAAGAAAACAAAAUGUUUUAAUAUGUGUCAAAGAUGGAGAUUCUCAAGAGCAACAUGUACAAGUUAAAUCAGAAUGCAUGUUUGAAAGUAAUUACACACAAGAUUCUUUGUCAGACUCCUAUUGUUCCGACGAUAUUAAAAUAGAAGAACAUGUGUUACAAUGCGACAAAGAUGGAGAUUCUUUAGAGCAACAUGUUAAUGUACAAGUACUAGUUUCAGAACUGGAAGAAUCGGAAAAAUGCAUGUUUGAAAGUAAUUAUACACAACAUUCCUUGUCAGACUCGUAUUGUUCUGAUGAUAUUAAAAUAGAAGAACAUAUAUUACAAUGUGAAAUAAUUAGCCCAUUCCCCCUCAUUUCGAAGCAAGAAGUAAAGACAGAACUCAAAAAAGAACUGGAUGAACAUAAUUUAGGAGUAAAUCAUGGGUGUGACACUCAUAAUACAAAAGAAUUAGACUCUGAAAAAGAUGUAAAAUUGCAGAUAGGAACUUCAACUGACAUACAUCAUGAAAAACAUUGUAGAAGCAUGAAAACAUCAAAAUUACUGUCCACCAUUGGCAAACAAAGGUUACGUCAGAAUAAGAUUCAAACGAAAUUCGAAAAAUCGUUGGUAAAACACACCGGAAAAAAGCUUUAUAAGUGCGAAUUUUGUUCUAAGCAGUUUAGUCAAGAAGUAAAUUUGAAAAAUCAUUUAAGGGUGCACACUGGAGAAAAACCUCAUAGGUGUGAGAUUUGUUCUAAGCAAUUUAGUCGAGGUGAACAUUUAAAAACGCAUUUAAGGGUACACACUGGGGAAAAGCCUUACAAGUGCGAAUUUUGUUUUAAGCAAUUUAGAGGGGCAGGAAAUUUGAAAAAACAUUUGAGAAUACACACUGGAGAAAAGCCUUACAAGUGUGAAAUUUGUUCCAAGCAAUUUUGUCAAGAAGUAAAUUUGAAAAACCAUUUAAGGGUGCACACUGGAGAAAAGCCUUACAAGUGUGAGAUUUGUUUUAAGCAGUUUAGUCGAGAUGGACAUUUAAAAACGCAUUUAAGGGUACACACUGGAGAAACGCCUUACAAGUGCGAAAUUUGUUCUAAGCAAUUUAGAUAUGAUGGAAGUUUAAAAAAUCAUUUAAGGGUACACACUGGAGAAACGCCUUACAAGUGCGAAAUUUGUUUGAAGCAAUUUAGAGAAGCAGGAAAUUUAAAAAGACAUUUGAGAAUACACACUGGAGAGAUGCCUUACAAGUGUGAAAUUUGUUUGAAACGAUUUAGAGAAGCAGGAACUUUAAAAAGACAUUUGAGAAUACACACUUGAGAGAUGCCUUACAAGUGUGAAAUUUGUUCUAAGCAAUUUACUAGGUGGAAAAACUGGAACUAAAACUGGAUAUAUGGUUUAUCUCCCAAUGCAUUAACUACAAUGUAUUUCCAAAGUUCUGUAAAGUAAAAACACCAGGAAACGUUCCAGUCACCCUAAAGAACACCUUCCAGCUUAAAAUAUUAAAAAAGGAGAUUUGUAACCAUUAUGGAAAACUUAACUUCCUAAACUGUAAGCUUAAGGUAACAUAUGACUCUUUACUUCAUUCUAUAGGCUUUGAUAACCUGAGUAACUUUUUGAAUGAUGUUCAGGACAGACUGGACAAUGUAACCUUUAUUAAAUUCAAUACACUCAAAUCUAAACUUGAUAAACUCAUUCGUAAUAAAUCUAUUUCACUAAAUCAAAAUAACAGGAACAAUACCAAAUUUUCCAAUUUUUCUUUCCACCCAAGACUUAAAAAUCUCUCUUCAGUUGUCUUUAAUAAAAAUGAACUUGACUUACUAAAUCUAGGACUCAAAUACUCCAUUCCAAGAAAAGUUUCUGUAAAAGACCUUCAGUCUUCCAUUGUCUCUCCAUUGAGCUAGAUAUCAUUAUUCAAAAUCUUUCUGUUCCGUUAAAUCAAAAAACCUCUAUUCGUAAUUCCUGCUUCAUAACUAUCAAUAAAUUCAAAAACAAAAAUAUUUCAUCUUCUACAUCUUUUAACACUUCUAAUCACAUCAUCCCACUGAAUACAUCUAGUAACUUGUCCUUCAAUUUACCCUCUACUUCUCAAAACUCUUUGCACAAUUCAUCUUUCCCUCAAUUCUCUGAAAACAAACGGAAUAUUCAUCUUCAAACCCUUAAUUCAAUCAAAAACAAAAUCAAAACCCAUAAUCUAAUCAUCAGCAAAGCAGACAAGGGUAACUGCUUAGUAAUCCUAGAUCAAACGUUGUAUAAUGACAAGGUCAUUACUUUUCUUUUUAACAAUAACUUCAUUCCACUAACAGACGAUCCUUCAAAAAAGUUCAUCAAUAAACUGAGACAACCUGAAACCCUUUGCAGAAUUUUUUUCAGAACAGUUUGCUCCUCACUAUAAAAUACCAAGCAAUCCUUUGACACUCAGACUGUAUGGUUUACCUAAGAUACAUAAAGAGGGCAUCCCCCACCCGUCCAGUUGUUAGCUUCAUAAACACACCAGUAUCUAUCCUAUCAAAAUUCAUAUUAAAUCUAAUUAACAACUUGACGAAUUUCACCCCUCGCUUCUCAGUCAAAAACACCAGUCAUCUAGUCAACAAUCUCCAACAAAUAAACCUUCGUCCCAACAUUACUAUGCUUUCACUUGAUGUUAGCAACCUUUUCAUUUCUGUCCCUAAACAUGAAACUAUUAAUUGGUACAUUCUCUUUUAAGAACCAACUCUAUUACUACGUCUACUACUAAUUCCAUCAUCCAAUUACUACAAUUUUGUCUAGCUCAAGACUUCUUUGUAUUUAAUAAUAAAUUUUAUAGACAACCUGAUGGCCUAGCCAUGGGUAGUUGUUUAUCCCCUCUCUUAGCUGAUAUUUUCAUGGAUCAUUUAGAAUCCACUCAUAUUAUAAAAAAAUCUGGAAAUACUCCAUUGGUUUAGAUAUGUAGACGAUAUUUUGCUUUUCAUUUCCGGUAAUUCUAAUUUAGCUGACCUUUUGCUUUCUAAAAUCAAUCAAAUCCACUAUUACCAGAUUAGAGGACCAUUUCGAUUUAAGUAUCUAUAGGAAACCAACACAGACUGAUCAUGUCAUACCUUUAUCCUAUAAUCACCCUAUGUCACAUAAAUAUGCUGCUUUCCAUAGUUAUAUCCAUAGACUUAAAACUAUUCCAUUAUCUCCACCAAACUAUGAUAAAGAACUUAAUAUACUUCGUCAAAUAGCGUUUAACAACGGUUACGAUCCUAAUCUUGUCUACAAACUUAUUCAAAGGAGACACCUUAGAGUCUUGAGAGAGACUGCUUUCCCUAGAGACUUGACCAUCAAACCCUCAUGCUUCCUUACCAUAUUUUCAUCAACGUCUUUCUGGAGACAUUAGAUAUAUUCUUAAAAGAGCAGUUGACAAUACUCACAUUUCUUUCAAAGUAUCCAACAAUCUAGGACAGUGUCUUACCAAUUCUAAAGACUCUAUCAACUACAUGGAUCGUAGUGGUGUGUACAGAUUACAAUGUUCUGAUUGUGACGUUACAUAUAUAGGUAGGACCUGUAGAUCCCUAUCUUCUCGCUCCUUAGGCACACCAAAAGAGAGAACACUUCUACUUUCUCACAACAUCUUGUACAAAACAAACAUACCCUUAAUAUCCCAGAAGAUGUCUCAUUAUUACAUAAUAUUUCACAAAAAAACUUCCUAAAAUUGGACCUGUAUGAAGACUUAGAAAUAGUUAAAGAGAAGCAAAGAAGUCCUGUGUCAAUCGCCAUGUGUCAUUUAACCGAGAUUUUCAACCAACCGUCAACUUUUUUCAUAAACCACAUCUGAUACAAUUUUCUCUUUUCUUUGCUUCACCAUUCAUGACUUCCACCUACAUCUAUUUCACUCCCAAUUGUCGAUAAGCAACAUCUUACUUUAACUCUUUAAUAUUCAUUUGUACUUCAUCCUCCCACAUUCUCAUUAUUUUACACCAGCUUUACUUUUCCAAAAAAAAUUUUUAGCUCCUACAUCACAUAUACCACCACAUUCAUCAGAUUGAGUCUCAUUCCAGUCAACCUCUUCUUCUUAGUCUUAUCUCAUAGCUUAUCGAUUAGAUAACUCUCAUAUCAUAACAACACACUACACAUCUUCCAUGGUCCAAUAUCACAACAUACUCUGUCAGACUUUUCAUACCUUCCAACUCCCCCCCAUAUUUUACGAUCACUUCAUUUACAACCAAUUUGAUGUCAGGUCUCUGGAGUUUCAUCAAGUUACUCUAGUCUCAUUCUCAGUCAGAUAAAAAACAAAACAGUAUUUCUAUAAUUAUCAUAUCACUUUUUCCAUCAUUAUCCAAUUUAUGUUGGGUCGACUUCUAAGCAAGUUAUCAGUAAUAGGUCUGGAUCCCGCGUAUGAAAAAAAAGUUGAUUAAUAACAAGCUGAAAAUUUGUUAAUAGCUUAAGGGUGUCUAGUCGAAUAAACUUUGAUAUGUGUGAACACUGGAACAGGGGCAGUUUUAAUUGUGGAACAGGUUAAAAAUUUGGAACGGUCACAGCACGAAAACGGCACAUUUAUUUUGUCCGACAGAACAGACUUAAACUCUUCGAACAGAGAUUAAACUCUCAUGCAAAAAUCAGACUGCUAUUUAUCACCAAAUGGGAGUUUUAAUGAGUGGAACAUGUAGAAUAUGUCAAAUGACAGGAAUUAUGACAGGUAAUAAAUAGCAGUCUGACUUUUUCAUGAGAGUUUAAUCUCUGUUUGGAGAGUUUAAGUCUGUUCUGUCGGACAAAAUUAAUGUGCCGUUUUCGUGCUGUGACCGUUCCAAAUUUUUAAACUGUUCCACAAUUAAAACUGCCCCUGUUUCAGUGUUCCCAUAUAUCAAAGUUUAUUCGACUAGAUACCCUUAAGCUAUUAACAAAUUUUCAGCUUGCUAUUAAUCAACUUUUUUUUCAUACGCGGGAUCCAGACCUAUAAUCAAACAAUUAUCCUUUAAUUAAUACUCUUAGAAUCGUACACAUAUGUACAUAUUACAUACUAUUUUGUGUUCCUAGACGUCCACACGUAUAAGGCCUUUCCCAUUAUUUGUCUAAUUGUAUUGAUUAUUUCAUUCAUAGGAGAUUCUGACCAAUAGAAAGCUACAGAAAUAAAAAUUAAACUGAUUAUAUUUUAAUGAUUUUAACUUCCAAUCGUAUAGUAAGAUAUUUGAUCACGUGUUUAAUUCUAUCCAAUCAGAUUAAAAUUAUACUGAGAAUUAUCUGCUGUAGAAAAUUACCGAUAUAAUUUUUUUAAGUAGAUUGUUUCUAUUUAAUGGCAACCAGUUUCCUGGUUUUGACAACUGUCAUAUUUAAGAAAAUAUCCAUAAUAUACGUAUUAAAAAAUUAUCUUAGGAAUAUCACACGACAGUAAAAAUAAAUAAGAAAAUAAUGCUUCAUUUUUACUCAAAUUUGUUGUCAUUGGGCAAUAGCCACUCGAGUCCUGCGGGCUCUCGUGUCUAUUGCCAAACAACAAAUUUUCGAAAAGGUGUCGCAUUAUUUUCAAUUUAUUCUCACUCUCUUGUGAUAUUAUACCCGAUAAUUUUUGAUAAUUUCCCGUCGUCAAGUAUAUUACGUCAGAUGCCCUUCGUUGCUAUGAAAAAAUACAUUCAGAGACAUUAAUGACAAUUAAUGUUUUAAAAAUUAUGAAAGUGAUGACUUUCAACCGUCAAAUAUUUAUAACAACUGUGUGUUUAAUUGUACUGAUUUGUACUUAAAUAAAUAAAUUACAAUAAAAUUUUGGUUUUGAACAGUUUUAUUCAUGAAAUAAUCGCAACAAAUUGCACUCGAUCUCUAAAAUUAAUAUAGAAUUUUAGAGCUCUUGUUCAAUUACUACUGAUAAUUUCACACCACUAAUACAACACCUAUUGGUAUUGUUGACUGCAUAACUUCUGGUAACGUAAACAUUUUAUUUUCCUAUAUGAAUACUUAAUUAAUGGAUUAUUUCUAAGGAAAAAAAUGUUUUCCAUCUUUUUUCGAACAUCUUUAAUUCUAAUAUAUGUAAAUUGGAUACUGUUUUUUAUCUUAAACAUUCAAAAUAAUCUUUAAACGUUGUGGCUGAAGUAAUAAUACAACUAGGUUACAUUGACAGUUCUUAAUGUCAUUUUGGGUUGCUUUUGAAUUAAGUUGUCAGUUGGUCAUUGAAAUUCAAUAUGUGAGGAUUUCUCCAAAAAAAAUUCCAACCACGUGGGAAGAGUCCUGUGUUGCCCUGGGUAACAUCCAGGCAUAUCUUUAACAUCAGAUGAUCUUUAUAUAAAUAUGUAAAACAACCAUAUCAUUUACAUUUGAAGGGUUUUUACCCAAUACAUUUUGGUGGCUCAGGCAUGCAAUUUUUUCAUCAUAAUGGUGCUUUUGGAUAAUUUUGAUACCCUUAGAGGGCCCCAACAUUCUCAAGCUGCUUACAUCAUUCUACUCCGUUAGAGUAGAUUACCCUGGGAGUUUCAAUUGGGAGCGGGGCCGCCGAGAGGGAUGAACGGGCCCCGGUAACGAAUGAAGAGCGGCCUCCGGAAAAAAGUGACGAACGAAAUAAAUUGUUUAAUUUUUAUAGAAAUAAAAUUAUAAAUAAUAAGAAACAUUUCAAAUAUACAUUUUAUAAAAUUUUGAUUAAAUAUAUUUGUAAUAUUGAAAA
This is an RNA transcript of Diabrotica virgifera virgifera (western corn rootworm), 6691 nucleotides long. It is a transcript of the gene named zinc finger protein 227-like, with no coding region annotated. NCBI's taxonomy places the organism in Eukaryota, Metazoa, Arthropoda, Insecta, Coleoptera, Chrysomelidae. The transcript has 3 exons. The record is from RefSeq and is a predicted model, not a curated record.